RNAcentral lists this ribosomal RNA (800 nucleotides) under Streptomyces sp. D122. RNAcentral's name for it is "bacterial SSU rRNA". It matches the Rfam family "Bacterial small subunit ribosomal RNA", at positions 38 to 853 of the family's 1533-position model. Lineage: Bacteria; Bacillati; Actinomycetota; Actinomycetes; Kitasatosporales; Streptomycetaceae. The record is from RNAcentral.
GGCGGCGUGCUACACAUGCAGUCGAACGAUGAACCACCUUCGGGUGGGGAUUAGUGGCGAACGGGUGAGUAACACGUGGGCAAUCUGCCCUUCACUCUGGGACAAGCCCUGGAAACGGGGUCUAAUACCGGAUACUGACCUGCCAAGGCAUCUUGGCGGGUCGAAAGCUCCGGCGGUGAAGGAUGAGCCCGCGGCCUAUCAGCUUGUUGGUGAGGUAAUGGCUCACCAAGGCGACGACGGGUAGCCGGCCUGAGAGGGCGACCGGCCACACUGGGACUGAGACACGGCCCAGACUCCUACGGGAGGCAGCAGUGGGGAAUAUUGCACAAUGGGCGAAAGCCUGAUGCAGCGACGCCGCGUGAGGGAUGACGGCCUUCGGGUUGUAAACCUCUUUCAGCAGGGAAGAAGCGAAAGUGACGGUACCUGCAGAAGAAGCGCCGGCUAACUACGUGCCAGCAGCCGCGGUAAUACGUAGGGCGCAAGCGUUGUCCGGAAUUAUUGGGCGUAAAGAGCUCGUAGGCGGCUUGUCACGUCGGUUGUGAAAGCCCGGGGCUUAACCCCGGGUCUGCAGUCGAUACGGGCAGGCUAGAGUUCGGUAGGGGAGAUCGGAAUUCCUGGUGUAGCGGUGAAAUGCGCAGAUAUCAGGAGGAACACCGGUGGCGAAGGCGGAUCUCUGGGCCGAUACUGACGCUGAGGAGCGAAAGCGUGGGGAGCGAACAGGAUUAGAUACCCUGGUAGUCCACGCCGUAAACGGUGGGCACUAGGUGUGGGCAACAUUCCACGUUGUCCGUGCCGCAGCU